UACGAAGGGGGCUAGCGUUGCUCGGAAUCACUGGGCGUAAAGCGCACGUAGGCGGCUUCUUAAGUCAGGGGUGAAAUCCUGGAGCUCAACUCCAGAACUGCCUCUGAUACUGAGGAGCUCGAGUCCGGGAGAGGUGAGUGGAACUCCGAGUGUAGAGGUGAAAUUCGUAGAUAUUCGGAAGAACACCAGUGGCGAAGGCGGCUCACUGGACCGGUAUUGACGCUGAGGUGCGAAAGCGUGGGGAGCAAACAGG
RNAcentral lists this ribosomal RNA (253 nucleotides) under uncultured bacterium. RNAcentral describes it as "partial 16S ribosomal RNA". It matches the Rfam family "Bacterial small subunit ribosomal RNA", at positions 524 to 776 of the family's 1533-position model. The record is from RNAcentral.